RNAcentral lists this ribosomal RNA (253 nucleotides) under uncultured bacterium. Its description in RNAcentral is "partial 16S ribosomal RNA". It matches the Rfam family "Bacterial small subunit ribosomal RNA", at positions 524 to 776 of the family's 1533-position model. The record is from RNAcentral.
UACGUAGGGUGCAAGCGUUGUCCGGAAUUAUUGGGCGUAAAGAGCUCGUAGGCGGUCUGUCACGUCGGCUGUGAAAACCCGAGGCUCAACCUCGGGCCUGCAGUCGAUACGGGCAAACUAGAGUACUGCAGGGGAGACUGGAAUUCCUGGUGUAGCGGUGAAAUGCGUAGAUAUCGGGAAGAACACCCGUGGCGAAGGCGGCUCUCUGGGCAUUACCUGACGCUGAGGAGCGAAAGUGUGGGGAGCGAACAGG